This 4117-nucleotide long non-coding RNA is filed under the name Equus asinus (donkey). RNAcentral's name for it is "lncRNA (ENSEASG00005024640.1)". Lineage: Eukaryota; Metazoa; Chordata; Mammalia; Perissodactyla; Equidae. The record is from RNAcentral.
CCUACCUUUGCUGAGGCCCCUCUGCACAGCUUGUUGGCUUCCUCUCAGACCAGCAAGUGGGGGAGGCUCAGACCCCUGGAGGGGAGACAGAUUGUGCCUCUCCUGAUGCCCUGGACCCCCGUCCUAUUGCUGGGGUCUCUGGAGUCCUGACCUUGACUUCUGGUCUGUGUCCCCACAUGCCCACCUCAGGGUGCCUCCUUCUGUGAAGGUGCUGGGUCAGGCCAGGCCCUCAGGUACCUGCAUGGCCCCAUAGGCCGCUGCUGCCCCCCUGCGGCUGUGGAGAGGAGGCUGCCCGUCCUGGCCUGGCUGCCCGACUACUCCGUGCAGUGGCUGAAGAUGGACUUCAUCCCUGGGCUCUCAGUCAGACUCAUGGUCAUUCCCCAGGCGCUGGCCCGUGCUGAGGUGGCCUGACUCCUGCCCCAGGGUUCCUGCUGGACUUCAUCUCCUGCCCUGUCAGUCAUUAAAGGUUUCACCUCUGCUGCUACCGUCACCAUCAGCUUCGGGCAGAUCCAGUUUAUCCUGACGGCAUCUGUCGCUUCUGGAGCCCACUCCAACCACAAGGAGGACAGUCACUCCAAUGCCUGUGAAAAGGAAUCUUCACGAGUGUUUAGGUAAACGGAAUCUGGUUCAUGAAGAGCAGACCCAGUGUUGUCCAUCCCAGAGGGACCAGGGACAGCUGCUUCAGGUCAGAGGGCUGAGGGCGGCACGUUUCCUCCAGGAGGAAGCAUCCGCCAGUGACAUACUUUGUCAGCUAAGAGCAAGGGAGGAGUCCCUCCUUCUGAAUAUCACCACGUUGCAUUUUUAGGUGCAUUUUAAAGGGAUGCAAAUGUACUGCAUACAAUUGUUUUUAUAUUAAACAUGCGGAGAUUUUGGAAAGGAUUAUUCCCCCACACAGUAAGUAUAAGUAUAUUCUUGUUAACAAAAUGGAUUCUGAUUCAGUGGGUCUGGAGUGGAGGCUGAGACUCUGCAUUGUUAAUAUGUUCCUUGUCCCUCCAAAAAUUCACAGACAUGUUUUAAUGUUGACAAGCCCAUAGGGACAGUGAGAAAUGAGAAGAGGAGUCCUCGGCAGACGAGAACCUAAGAGAAUCUCUGACAGAGAACUGAGUUUUGGUUAAAUGAAAAGCACACUCUGCGCACAGAGAAGAUCAGAGGACAGAUGCAAAGACGGGAGGGGCUCCUCUUUAUUUCAAGAGCAACAAAUGCCUCCCCACAGCCUGCACCCGGAGCUCUUGCCCCAUCUCCUCAGGCUCCUCCUCUGGUCCUUUCUGAAGUGCACAGGUCCUCCCCUCCCCCCUCCCCCUCUCUGAUCCAGGACUUCGCUUCCCAGCCCCUGCUCUCUCCCUUUUUUUCUGCAGCCCUUCUGCCCUGUGACUCCUCAGUUCACUGCCAAGGUCUUUGUCAGAAAGCUCAGGGACGUGUUUCCAGAUCUUCCUUGGAAUCGAACACUCCCAUCCAGUCCUCUGUCCUGAGCCUCUCUGAUCCCUUACUUCCUGAAAAGCCUCAUGUCCACAGAUUCUCAUGUUUUAUCCCAACUGAUACCUUCUCCUUCUCGUUCCCUGGUUUCACCUCGUUUUCAAGGAAUCCGGUGAAUCACUCCAGCGUGCUGAUUCAUCCUCCCAGACACCCAGCACUCUGUCCUAUGUGCCCAUCCAGUGAGGAGUCAGGUAGGAAGAGAACACACGGCUUCCUGAGCAGCUUAGGAAGUGAGUUCACGGCUGAACUGUGUCUGCUCUCAGCUCUUGGACAUUUUAUUUUAUGUGCAGCUGGUAUGAGACAUCUGUGGGGGCUCUCCCCUAGGAAACCAGACUCCUGUCCCCCGGUCCCUGCUCAGUGCUCUCUGGGUCCAGCAGCUGGGUCCUCUCUGGGUCCUCAGCAGCCUCAGGCCAGGGCCAGCCCCAGCCCACUCCUCUCAGAAAUGACACCCAGUCAUUGAAAGGACACAGGGCCCAGGGAGGGCUUUGGUGGGCCAGAGGAGCAGAGCAAAUUUGCAUGAAGGGCCCCUUUCUCUGGGGAUUGAUGGGGAGGAGAGAGACCUGAAGCAUGUCCAUCUCAGCUGAGCUCUGGGGUGUCCACGGCCUGGACACCACUCUUCCUUCUCCCCCUCCCCCUGCACUGCACAGGUCAGGAUGGCCCUCAGCAUCCUGACUCCCCCGCUCACUGCAACUACCCACAGGCUGGAAAUGUCCUUCCCUCUUGUUCUUCCUCCAGGACAUGAUGGGAGUCUGUGUUUUCACAGUCCCUCUCACAGACUGUGCUGAUGCAGCCUCCCACUGCAUCCGCCUCCCUGGGAGCCUUGGCCAAGCUCACCUGCUCCCUGAGCAGUGGCUCCAGUAACUGCAAAGUGGACUGGUACCAGCAAGGCCCAGGGAAGGGGCCAGGGUUCCUGCUAUGAAUAGUCACCGGUGGUAUUGUGGGAUCCAAAGGGGAUGGGAUCCCUGGUCGCUUCUCAGGCUCAGGCCUGGAUCAGUACCUGCCCAUCCAGAACAUCCAGGUACUUCUUGAAAAUGAGAAUUUGUACUGGGAAGUGUGGUUUUUGCUACUCACCUGAGAGGUUUAUGUUCCUGGAUGGAGACCCAUUGACAGGUGCACUCACAGCAGAAAUACCAUCCGCAGCUCCCCUGUUUCCUUGAUCCUCAUUUGACGUUUGUGAGCUGCUCACGCAAAACAUAACAUUGACUGUUUCGCUGGAGAUACAGGACCUUGACCCAACCCUCAGGGUCACAGGUGCAUGCGAUUCACCUGGACUUCACCCAGCUCCAUCACCUUCAUGUGCACAGAGGACUCAGGGUGAAGGUGCCUCUCUGUGUGUGAAAUAAAUAAAGAACAUUUUCACACACAGAAAGAUGGGAGUUGCUGGGCUUGCUCUGCUCCUGAGGCCUUGAACGAGGCCUCGUCUGCCUUCCGCACAGUGCUGUGUUUCAUGUGCAAGAGAGAACGCUCUGGCAGAAUUGCUCCCUCUGGUCGGGAUAUGUGGGGACAUGUGGGACAGGGGAUGACCCUCUGCUCUGAAUGACUGUCAUGGCCCCAAGUCUGGGAAACCCCACCAGGAUGAAUGAAGAUGGUGAGGAUGACAGGGAGAGGCCCUGUGGGGCUUGUCAUUGGUCCAGUUCAGGCUCCACUGUCUGCAGGAUGAGACCCUGGGUGUGUCACUGACCACUCAGAAGAGGCCAGCAUGUUACAGUAAAUUCAAAACAUCUGCAGGACGUACUAUGUGAGCCUGGUCCUGAAGGAGGAGGGCAAGAAGAAGGACAAGAGGACCAGAAGGGACCACUAUGAUCCAAGUAUCCUCCUUGAAAAGGAGACCUGCUACGGGUUUUGCACAGGCUGCUGGAGAGAGAGGGGAGGCAGGAGGCUGGGGAAGAAGUGAUGGCCGCACAUAGAGCGAAAGGGUGAAGAUAAAUAUUCUGACUUCAUCUUGAUGGAGAGAAUCUCUGAGAGACUCUCAGCACAGAGCCCAGAACACAACCUUACACAAAGGACAGAUUCCACACCAGUAUGUUGAGUGAAUAUGUCAACUCACCUAAACUGGAAGCCCAGGAAGAAGAGUAAAUGUGAGGCGAAGAUAGCGACAUCUGCUCUGGGGACAUUUAGUGUUUGGAGUUCCGAGUUGACUAAUGAGGAGAUUUUAAAUAAGAACUGGACCUCAGUAUGGAGAACAGGAGACAGACCUUAACUUCAGCCUUGGUGGGUGAGCAGCACAAUGGGCUGGGUUCUGUGUGCUCCUGCAGAGACAGUGGGAAAGGACAUGAUUAGCCAGCAGGUGCUGAAUAAAGAAGCCACAGGAGCAGGUAGGUCACGGAGCAGAUUCUGAGCUCCGAAGACAAGCUCCAUGAGCAAAGGACCUGCAGAGGACAGAUUAGAUGUACGAACAUCUGCUGAUGUUUCACUUAAGUACCUAUAAGAGAGCCAUUUGCCGGAAAAUGUUAAAUAAAAUCUCAAAAUCCACUCUAUGAUCAAUGAAGUAUUAAUAUUAAACUCUUCAGUGAAAUCUCUCUCUAAAGAACCUUAGUGGCAAACCUCACGAAGGAAGAAAGUUGGGAUUUCUGGGCCGUGUGUCCACAGGACAGGUGGGUCUGCGCUUGGGGAAGUGGAUGACCGAGGCCUGUUAGUGAGUGUC